This 253-nucleotide ribosomal RNA is filed under the name uncultured bacterium. RNAcentral describes it as "partial 16S ribosomal RNA". It matches the Rfam family "Bacterial small subunit ribosomal RNA", at positions 524 to 776 of the family's 1533-position model. The record is from RNAcentral.
UACGUAGGGUGCGAGCGUUAAUCGGAAUUACUGGGCGUAAAGCGUGCGCAGGCGGUUUUGUAAGCCAGAUGUGAAAUCCCCGGGCUUAACCUGGGAAUGGCAUUUGGGACUGCAAGGCUCGAGUGCGGCAGAGGAGACUGGAAUUCCUGGUGUAGCAGUGAAAUGCGUAGAUAUCAGGAGGAACACCGAUGGCGAAGGCAGGUCUCUGGGCUAUAACUGACGCUCAUGCACGAAAGCGUUGGGAGCAAACAGG